Molecule: ribosomal RNA, 532 nt
Filed under: Exophiala mesophila
Lineage: Eukaryota; Fungi; Ascomycota; Eurotiomycetes; Chaetothyriales; Herpotrichiellaceae
Description: eukaryotic LSU rRNA
Rfam family: Eukaryotic large subunit ribosomal RNA
Source: RNAcentral
AGUAACGGCGAGUGAAGCGGCAACAGCUCAAAUUUGAAAUCUGGCCUCUUUGGGGUCCGAGUUGUAAUUUGUAGAGGAUGUUUCGGGUACCGCUCCGGUUUAAAUUUCUUGGAACAGAAUGUCAGAGAGGGUGAGAAUCCCGUCUUGGACCGGUGGUAGGACCUAUGUGAAACUCCUUCGACGAGUCGAGUUGUUUGGGAAUGCAGCUCAAAAUGGGUGGUAAAUUUCAUCUAAAGCUAAAUAUUGGCCAGAGACCGAUAGCGCACAAGUAGAGUGAUCGAAAGAUGAAAAGCACUUUGAAAAGAGAGUUAAACAGUAUGUGAAAUUGUUGAAAGGGAAGCGCUUGCAACCAGACUUGAGCGCGACGGUUCCCCCUUCCUUUUGGUUGGGUUACUCCGUCGUGUCCAGGCCAACAUCGGUUUUGGGGGUUGGUUAAAGGCGCCUUGAAUGUAUCUACCCUUCGGGCGUAGACUUAUAGCUCGGCGUGUCAUGCGACCUCCCGGGACCGAGGUGUCAGCGACCCGUCUUGAAA